UAAAAACGAGGCUUUAGCCAGGAGAAAACAAUUGGCAGUACUCAGUUGAAAGUGCUUGAUUGUUAAUAUAUAUCAGCCGUGGUUCUCCAGCGUCCUCAGUGUUGUUCAGUCUUGCUCUUUUUGGCAACUACUGAAUGCUUGAAAAUUUCUCUCCUGUACUCCCACUCUGCACUGUAGAAGAGAAAGAGCGGAGAAGAGAGGAGAAAGACAGACAGAAGAGAGAAACAUGGGCAUGGAUGAUACAUAAGGUAAUAAUUCCAGAAGAUUUCAGCAUAGCAGAUAAAAUACAGCAAAUCCUAACCAGCACAGGUUUUAGUGACAAACGGGCCCGUUCCAUAGACACAGAUGAUUUCAUCAGGUAAUUACAUUUUUGUGUUCGUAAGCGUUUACACGUCUUUACUGUGACACCUUCAGAUUAGAGAUUUUAAAGGCUUUUAAGCGGUAUAAGGUGCUACCUGGGAUAGUUAUUGCAUAGCACUUUCAUGGCAUGGAAUAGUGUUUGGUGUAGAAGAUGAAGGCUAGUUAGCUGCAGCAGAAUGAACAUUUCUUUAAGAACAGUAGUAAAGAACACUCCAGGCCAGAAUAUUGCCUCUGUGUUAAUGUGGUGUGCAUGUUUCUCCCCUCCUGCUCCCUCCCCAACUCUCCUUCACAGUCUUAGUAUUAAUAGCUUAUCCCUCCAAAAUAGUCCAUAAGGUAGAAAAAUCAUAAUAUAUGUAGCUGGAUCUGAUUUUUAGAAUUUGCUUAUUGGGAAUAGCUGUUGUUAAAUCAAUCUAAAGCAUACAAUAAUGUCAGUUAGAAUCCUACCUGGCUAUCCUUUUAGUAAUAAUAUAGUUAGUUUUGUAACCCAAGGCAAGUUCUACACUUCUCAAGUAAAAAGAUGUCUUAAUUAUCUAGGUAAUUUAGAACAAAAUUUGUUUUGCUUGAA
RNAcentral lists this long non-coding RNA (925 nucleotides) under Macaca mulatta (Rhesus monkey). Its description in RNAcentral is "lncRNA (ENSMMUG00000059000.1)". Lineage: Eukaryota; Metazoa; Chordata; Mammalia; Primates; Cercopithecidae. The record is from RNAcentral.